UGGGUUGUUAAGCAUACGAACAACCUUCUAAGAGGCCACCGGCCACCAUUUAUGUAUCCACAUCUCCUGCAUUAGAGCAACGCCCUAUUUCCUCGCAAGGUAGGCACGAUCGCCGAAGUUUUGAAGAACUUAAAAAAAAUUUAGGUUUGAAUAUUCAUUUCUAAGAUCACAAUUAUUUUAACAUGAUGUAAAACUUAAGUUUUCUGAUCGAGAAGCUAGGGCCUAGGGAGAAAGAGUUUCACCUUCUCUCGUGAGGAAGGCCACAAGUAAAAACUCUGAUAGAAAUGUGAGGAGAUGAAGUAUUGCAAAAUGGGAUGCAUGAGAUAACUCAAGUAUCUGCAUAUUGUGUUUAACAUUCCGCACACUUACAACCACUUGUGAAUUGGCACGGACGUUUCACUUGCCGGCACAUAGUUAACUCCAUAUGGCACACACCUAUAAUGUCUCAAUGCAUGCACAUGCAUGCUUACAUGGCAUGUAGAAGAUUUGCCGGCUGCCGCAAGAGCAAGUGCAAUUUUGGAGGUCAACUUUGCAUGAGUAGUUUGUAUCAUUUACAUUAUAUAUUAUUAUGUUUGACGUAAACACGGAUAAUCUCCGACCGUCUUCUGUAUUUUUUUGCAAGACUUUCUUAGGAUUGGGGCACAGAUGUGUUUAAAUACCAUAACUUUGAUUAUGUCAUUCAUGCAUCAAUUGCAUUAUUUGAAGCCUGAUAUGGUCAACCAUAUAAGGAAUGAGCAUAUGGCGAGCCUCCAUGAUCCAACUAUUAAAACACUCUGCCACGUUAGAUAUCAUAAUACCCCAGUGUGGACCUAGAAAGACUGCAUUUGCCCAAUGCUCUGGAUUUGCAUGCAGGAGAAAGGUUUUAGUCCCUAGGGCUUCUAAUGUAAGCUUGCUAAUUAAUUUCUGAAAAACAUUCAGCCUUGGAGUAUAGGCAGCAGCAUUUAGUAAAUCAAGCAGCCUUUUUCUCUCAGUUGCACGAUAAUAGACAAGCACCUGCAUUGACAAUUAUCGAAGGAUGAGAUCUACGAUAUCUAAAAUUAGUUAGAUAAAUUCUAGGUUGAAAAUUCAGAAUAUGACGCUCCAAACCUGACUCUUGAAGUUGACUUUCACGUGAUGGAAACAAUAUAAGUGGUAACUAUCAGAAAAGUACUUUGGCACUGAUUUAAUAAUUUUCUUAUGUCUAUAUGUCAUAAAUGUGAACUACUAACCAUGAUAGUCACUGCAACUAUGAAUUACUUCUUUCAAAAUUUGACAAAACCAGUUCCAAUUGUCAUCAGUCUCUGUAUCGACCACA
Molecule: long non-coding RNA, 1294 nt
Filed under: Phoenix dactylifera (date palm)
Lineage: Eukaryota; Viridiplantae; Streptophyta; Magnoliopsida; Arecales; Arecaceae
Description: long non-coding RNA (PDAC_LNC004548)
Source: RNAcentral